RNAcentral lists this ribosomal RNA (331 nucleotides) under uncultured bacterium. RNAcentral's name for it is "partial 16S ribosomal RNA". It matches the Rfam family "Bacterial small subunit ribosomal RNA", at positions 28 to 334 of the family's 1533-position model. The record is from RNAcentral.
GACGAACGCUGGCGGCGUGCCUAAUACAUGCAAGUCGAGCGAGCGGAACCAACAGAUUUACUUCGGUAAUGACGUUGGGAAAGCGAGCGGCGGAUGGGUGAGUAACACGUGGGGAACCUGCCCCUAAGUCUGGGAUACCAUUUGGAAACAGGUGCUAAUACCGGAUAACAACACUAGACGCAUGUCUAGAGUUUGAAAGAUGGUUCUGCUAUCACUCUUGGAUGGACCUGCGGUGCAUUAGCUAGUUGGUAAGGUAACGGCUUACCAAGGCAAUGAUGCAUAGCCGAGUUGAGAGACUGAUCGGCCACAUUGGGACUGAGACACGGCCCAA